Carlito syrichta (Philippine tarsier) is the source of this 1321-nucleotide long non-coding RNA. RefSeq lists it as uncharacterized. NCBI's taxonomy places the organism in Eukaryota, Metazoa, Chordata, Mammalia, Primates, Tarsiidae. The transcript is spliced from 3 exons. The record is from RefSeq and is a predicted model, not a curated record.
AAGUCCGAGGUCAAGGUGUCAGCAGGGUUGGCUCCUUCUGAGGCCAUGAGGAGACUCUGUCCAGGCCUCUCCUCAGCUCCUGGUGGUUGCUGGCAGUCUCUGGCAUUCCUCGGCUUGUAGAUGCAUCACCCUGACCUCCACCUUCAUCUUCACACGACGUUCUCCCUGUGUCUCCGUUUCCCCUCUUGAUAAGGGCCCCAGUCCUGUUGCGUCAGGCCCACCUUGGUGUCUGCUCUCCCAGAACAGCAGAGGAGAAUCAUGUCCCAGAUGGAGAGAGGACUGCUCAGAGUUUCAAUCUUCGGCAGAGGCAUGGAUGGAAGAUGGUCCGAUCUCUCUUCUGGCCUUUUCUCCCGGAGUCUGAGGAGGUGGUCUCCCCUCUGUUUUCGGGGCACUAUCUCCACCCGUCUGCCCUUAGCCUCCUUCGAGUUCUUUCUCACUCAAUCGUUAUCUUUCUUCAGACAUCAGUGACAUUGUCAUUUUCCAGCAGCCUGUCAGCAUUGUCCAGUUCCUCCACCCCUCUUUUCCCUCAGCGUCCUUGAAGUUAUAAGAGCCAGAAGCCCAGCUAGAACUAGGUUAGGGUGAAAAGAGAAUGUAUAAGGCAGCAGCCGUGCUGUGGGAAGAGCAGGUUUGCAGCAGGGAUCCAGAGGUCCUUGCGUCCAGGAACUGUCUGGAUUCUCUUGUUCCCUUGUCCCUGCCUCUGUGACUCCUUCUCUCAGGCUGACUUUAUCCAGGUGGCCAGAAAUAGCAAGGCCACAGCUCCCUCGCUCACAUCCACAAGUUUUACCAUAGUGAGGUCUCCUUUCGUGGAUCCGGUUUCAAAGAUCCUUGGGGAAGGUUGAUUGGUCCAGCUUGUUCAGGUGUAGGCCCUCCUUAUCCAGUCAGCCAUGCACAGUUGUGGAGGGACUGAGUCCACGGCAGGGGGUUCCCAGGAGCACCAUGUGCUUGGACGGAGGCUGGGGUCCCAGAGGAAGAUGAGGCCUCAAGGACACACAUUACAACUGUCCGUGCCAGGAAGGAGCACGUUCACAGGGUCUUGGUUUCCAUGUCUGUGCUGAAUAAAACCAGGCUGUCUGGAGGUCUGACACCUAAAACGUCUUGGACCAGGAUGAGAGGUUGAAAAUGAGGUGUGAGGCCACACCCCACCUUCUCAGAGGCAAGAGCUGGCUCCAACCGUCCAUGAAACUUGGAAGCUGGAGCUUUCAUUUGGUGUCUUUCUCAGGAAGCUGUUGUUUUGUAGGAAACCAUGUCUCGCUGGGGACUUCUUCCUUUUAGGGCGAUCUGUAAUAAAGGUAAUAACAAUAAAGGUUAUGAAAUUGUUGAG